CCUACGGGAGGCUGCAGUGGGGAAUAUUGCACAAUGGGGGAAACCCUGAUGCAGCGACGCCGCGUGAGCGAUGAAGUAUCUCGGUAUGUAAAGCUCUAUUAGUAGGGAAGAAAAUGACGGUACCUGUCCAAGAAGCCCCGGCCAACUUCGUGCCAGCAGCCGCGGCAAGACGGAGGGGGCAAGCGUUAUCCGGAUUGACCGGGUGUUAAGGGAGCGUAGACGGUGGUGCAAGCCAGCUGUGAAAGCCUGGGGCGCAACCCCGGGACUGCAUUUGGAACUGUGCUGCUAGAAUGUCGGAGAGGCAGGCGGAAUUCCUAGUGUAGCGGUGAAAUGCGUAGAUAUCUGGAAGAACAUCAGUGGCGAAGGCAACUAUCUGGCACAUAACUGACGCUGAGGCGCGAAAGCGUGGGUAGCAAACAGGAUUAGAUACCCGGGUAGUC
RNAcentral lists this ribosomal RNA (440 nucleotides) under uncultured bacterium. RNAcentral's name for it is "partial 16S ribosomal RNA". It matches the Rfam family "Bacterial small subunit ribosomal RNA", at positions 338 to 795 of the family's 1533-position model. The record is from RNAcentral.